AGUCGAUAAGUCUGUGUGAACAGCUCACGACCCGUGUCCCUCUUUGUGUUUUUGUUUUGUUUCAGAGAGCGGAUUUUGGAAUCUGGUAUUCCAGGGAUUCGUUACUGAUACUGAAGAAGUGAGGACAGAAGUGUGAUGACACAAGUGAAGAGACAAACUUCCAGUCCUGGAACCAAUUAGAGCAGGAGGAGCCCCUCCACCAGUCCAGCAGAGGCAGGUGCUACUGUCGUUCCUCUGGAGAAGUAAUCAACAGCACCUCUGUUCUAAGAGCCAGUUUGCCUGAUGUUACAGCAUGUUGAAUGAGGCUCUCCGAUGGAGUAUGGCACACACACACAGGUACACACUCAUCCUGCUGUUUCCACUGAGCGUUCAGCCUGUCAUCGGAAAGAGAAGAUGAACGGAGGUAAAGGGGAGGAGAGGAAACACGCACUUCUGCCCUCUACCUUCCAUGUGCUGGGUCCCUGCACUUAAACUGAGCACAGACAGAGCGAGUGAGAGAGUGAGAGCCAGAGGGAGGGAGGGAGGUGUGUGUGUUUGUGUGGGUAAGGCUUUGCCUAUAGUGAGAGGAUAGUAAACCUGAAAUCACCUACAUUGUGUGGAGCAGUCAAAGGUCCAUGUCCAUGAGAAAAACAUGCAAAAUGUUUUAAAAUUUCAAAAUGCAAGAAAAUAUUUUCAGUUCUUGAAGUACACCCUCCACCCAAGAGUUAAAUAAUGAGAAAAAUGAAACAAGAAAUGAAUGAAUAAACAAAUAAAAAAAGUAAUUUCAGAAAAUAUGUACACUUUAUUUUAAUUUCAUGUGGCAAACAUUCAAAAUCUAUUUAAUAAUUAUAUUUUUAUUUGGCACAAUAAAGCGCUAACAUAUAGGUUGAUAUUACGGUUUUUAAUUUACUUAAAUUUGCCA
Molecule: long non-coding RNA, 901 nt
Organism: Cyprinus carpio (common carp)
Lineage: Eukaryota; Metazoa; Chordata; Actinopteri; Cypriniformes; Cyprinidae
Exons: 3
Source: RefSeq, a predicted model, not a curated record